This 429-nucleotide ribosomal RNA is filed under the name Acidobacteriota bacterium. RNAcentral describes it as "Acidobacteria bacterium partial 16S ribosomal RNA". It matches the Rfam family "Bacterial small subunit ribosomal RNA", at positions 355 to 776 of the family's 1533-position model. Lineage: Bacteria; Pseudomonadati; Acidobacteriota. The record is from RNAcentral.
UGGGGAAUUUUGUACAAUGGGGGAAACCCUGAUCCAGCCAUCCCGCGUGUGCGAUGAAGGCCUUCGGGUUGUAAAGCACUUUUGGCAGGAAAGAAACGUCAUGGGUUAAUACCCCGUGAAACUGACGUUACCUGCAGAAUAAGCACCGGCUAACUACGUGCCAGCAGCCGCGGUAAUACGUAGGGUGCAAGCGUUAAUCGGAAUUACUGGGCGUAAAGCGUGCGCAGGCGGUUCGGAAAGAAAGAUGUGAAAUCCCAGAGCUCAACUUUGGAACUGCAUUUUUAACUACCGGGCUAGAGUGUGUCAGAGGGAGGUGGAAUUCCGCGUGUAGCAGUGAAAUGCGUAGAUAUGCGGAGGAACACCGAUGGCGAAGGCAGCCUCCUGGGAUAACACUGACGCUCAUGCACGAAAGCGUGGGGAGCAAACAGG